AUCACUUAUCUGCAUUUUGGCUAAGAUCAAGUGUAAUAUCUGUUCUUAUCAGUUUAAUAGUAGGGGACUGUAAUAUCCCACUUACAUCAAUGGAUAGAUUAUCCAGACAGAUGGUUUUGAAUGAUACAUU
This 130-nucleotide small nuclear RNA is filed under the name Ursus americanus (American black bear). RNAcentral describes it as "U2 spliceosomal RNA". It matches the Rfam family "U2 spliceosomal RNA". Rfam says of the family: U2 is a small nuclear RNA (snRNA) component of the spliceosome (involved in pre-mRNA splicing). The record is from Rfam by way of RNAcentral. RNAcentral also lists the same sequence under 2 other names. Lineage: Eukaryota; Metazoa; Chordata; Mammalia; Carnivora; Ursidae.